AAUGAACGUUGGCGGCGUGGAUUAGGCAUGCAAGUCGAGCGAGAACCCGCAAGGGGGACAGCGGCAAACGGGGUAGGAAUGGUCGGUAACGUACCCUUCGGACGGGGAUAGCCACGGGAAGCUGUGGGUAAUACCCGAUAACCUCCUUUCUUGUAACGGAGAGAGGAGCAAAGGUGAGAUUCCACCGGAGGAGCGGCUGACUUAGUAUUAGCUAGUUGGUGAGGUAAAAGCUUACCAAGGCAUCGAUGCUUAGGGGGGUGUGAGAGCAUGGCCCCCACCACUGGGACUGAGAUACUGCCCAGACACCUACGGGUGGCUGCAGUCGAGGAUCUUCGGCAAUGGGCGCAAGCCUGACCGAGCGACGCCGCGUGUGGGAUGAAGGCCCUUGGGUUGUAAACCACUGUCAGGGGGGACGAAAUGCGCGCGGGUACUCCCGUGCGUUUGACAGAGCCCCAGAGGAAGCACGGGCUAAGUUCGUGCCAGCAGCCGCGGUAAU
RNAcentral lists this ribosomal RNA (496 nucleotides) under uncultured bacterium. Its description in RNAcentral is "bacterial SSU rRNA". It matches the Rfam family "Bacterial small subunit ribosomal RNA", at positions 29 to 524 of the family's 1533-position model. The record is from RNAcentral.